This 500-nucleotide ribosomal RNA is filed under the name uncultured bacterium. RNAcentral describes it as "partial 16S ribosomal RNA". It matches the Rfam family "Bacterial small subunit ribosomal RNA", at positions 30 to 523 of the family's 1533-position model. The record is from RNAcentral.
AUUGAACGCCGGCGGCAGGCCUAACACAUGCAAGUCGAGCGGAUGACGGGAGCUUGCUCCUUGAUUCAGCGGCGGACGGGUGAGUAAUGCCUAGGAAUCUGCCUGGUAGUGGGGGACAACGUUUCGAAAGGAACGCUAAUACCGCAUACGUCCUACGGGAGAAAGCAGGGGACCUUCGGGCCUUGCGCUAUCAGAUGAGCCUAGGUCGGAUUGGCUUGUUGGUGAGGUAAUGGCUUAAAAAGGGGACGAUCCGUAACUGGACUGAGAGGAUGAUCAGUCACACGGGAACGGAGACACGGACAAGACUCAUACGGGAGGCAGAAGUGGGGAAUAUUGGAAAAUGGGCGAAAGCCGGACCCAGCCAUGCCGCGUGUGUAAAGAAGGUCUUCGGAUUGUAAAGCACUUUAAGUUGGGAGGAAGGGUUGUAGAUUAAUACUCUGCAAUUUUGACGUUACCGACAGAAUAAGCACCGGCUAACUCUGUGCCAGCAGCCGCGGUAA